This 497-nucleotide ribosomal RNA is filed under the name uncultured bacterium. Its description in RNAcentral is "partial 16S ribosomal RNA". It matches the Rfam family "Bacterial small subunit ribosomal RNA", at positions 28 to 507 of the family's 1533-position model. The record is from RNAcentral.
GAUGAACGCUGGCGGCGUGCCUAAUACAUGCAAGUCGAGCGAACAGACGAGGAGCUUGCUCCUCUGACGUUAGCGGCGGACGGGUGAGUAACACGUGGAUAACCUACCUAUAAGACUGGGAUAACUUCGGGAAACCGGCGCUAAUACCGGAUAAUAUAUUGAACCGCAUGGUUCAAUAGUGAAAGACGGUUUUGCUGUCACUUAUAGAUGGUUCCGCGCCGCAUUAGCUAGUUGGUAAGGUAACGGCUUACCAAGGGAACGAUGCGUAGACGACCUGGGAGGGUGGUCGGCCGCACUGGAACGGAGACGCGGUCCAGGCUCCUGCGGGACGCAGCAGUAGGGAAUCUUCCGCAAUGGGCGAAAGCCUGACACAGCAAGGCGGCGUGAGUGAUGGAGGUCUUCGGAUCGUAAAGCUCUGUUAUUAGUGAAAAACAAAUGUGUAAGUGAAUGUGCACGUCUUGACGGUACCUAGUCAGAAAGCCACGGCUAACUACGUG